GGCCCUGUAGUACAAUGGAUAGUAUAGGAGUUUCCGAAGCUCUUGAUACUGGUUCGAUUCCAGUCGGGGUCACCA
This 75-nucleotide transfer RNA is filed under the name Chitinophaga lutea. Its description in RNAcentral is "Chitinophaga sp. ZY74 tRNA-Arg". It matches the Rfam family "tRNA". From Rfam's summary of the family: Transfer RNA (tRNA) molecules are approximately 80 nucleotides in length. Their secondary structure includes four short double-helical elements and three loops (D, anti-codon, and T loops). Further hydrogen bonds mediate the characteristic L-shaped molecular structure. tRNAs have two regions of fundamental functional importance: the anti-codon, which is responsible for specific mRNA codon recognition, and the 3' end, to which the tRNAs corresponding amino acid is attached (by aminoacyl-tRNA synthetases). tRNAs cope with the degeneracy of the genetic code in two manners: having more than one tRNA (with a specific anti-codon) for a particular amino acid; and 'wobble' base-pairing, i.e. permitting non-standard base-pairing at the 3rd anti-codon position. Lineage: Bacteria; Pseudomonadati; Bacteroidota; Chitinophagia; Chitinophagales; Chitinophagaceae. The record is from RNAcentral.